CCCUUAGAUGUUCUGGGCUGCACGCGCGCUACACUGAUACUUUCAGCGAGUCCACCACCUUGCCUGAGAGGGUGGGGUAACCUCUGGAAAGUGUAUCGUGAUGGGGAUCGAUUAUUGUAAUUAUUAAUCGUCAACGAGGAAUUCCUAGUAAGUGUGAAUCAUCAGUUCGCGCUGAUUACGUCCCUGCCCUUUGUACACACCGCCCGUCGCUGCUACCGAUUGAGUGGUCCGGUGAAUUAUUCGGACCGGUGGACUGUGGGGAAACCCGCGGCCUGCUGGGAAGUCUUGUGAACCUUAUCACUUAGAGGAAGCAGAAGUCGUAACA
RNAcentral lists this ribosomal RNA (325 nucleotides) under uncultured eukaryote. RNAcentral describes it as "partial 18S ribosomal RNA". It matches the Rfam family "Eukaryotic small subunit ribosomal RNA", at positions 1470 to 1796 of the family's 1831-position model. The record is from RNAcentral.